RNAcentral lists this ribosomal RNA (477 nucleotides) under uncultured bacterium. Its description in RNAcentral is "bacterial SSU rRNA". It matches the Rfam family "Bacterial small subunit ribosomal RNA", at positions 30 to 507 of the family's 1533-position model. The record is from RNAcentral.
AUUGAACGCUGGCGGCAUGCCUUACACAUGCAAGUCGAACGGUAACAGGUUAAGCUGACGAGUGGCGAACGGGUGAGUAAUGUAUCGGAACGUGCCUAGUCGUGGGGGAUAACGUAGCGAAAGCUACGCUAAUACCGCAUACGAUCCAUGGAUGAAAGCGGGGGACCUUCGGGCCUCGCGCGAUUAGAGCGGCCGAUAUCAGAUUAGGUAGUUGGUGGGGUAAAGGCCCACCAAGCCGACGAUCUGUAGCUGGUCUGAGAGGACGACCAGCCACACUGGGACUGAGACACGGCCCAGACUCCUACGGGAGGCAGCAGUGGGGAAUUUUGAACAAUGGGCGCAAGCCUGAUCCAGCAAUGCCGCGUGCAGGAUGAAGGCCUUCGGGUUGUAAACUGCUUUUGUACGGAGCGAAAAGGCUCUCUCUAAUAAAGGGGGCUCAUGACGGUACCGUAAGAAUAAGCACCGGCUAACUACGUG